GAUGAACGCUAGCGGCAGGCUUAAUACAUGCAAGUCGAACGGGAUCCGAGGUAGCAAUACUUUGGUGAGAGUGGCGCACGGGUGCGUAACGCGUAUGCAACCUACCUUUAACUGGGGGAUAGCCUCUCGAAAGAGAGAUUAAUACCCCAUAGUAUAACUGAAGAGCAUUUUUUGGUAUUAAAGAUUUAUCGGUUAAAGAUGGGCAUGCGGCUGAUUAGGUAGUUGGUGAGGUAAUGGCUCACCAAGCCAACGAUCAGUAGGGGGUCUGAGAGGAUGUCCCCCCACACUGGUACUGAGACACGGACCAGACUCGUGAUGCU
Molecule: ribosomal RNA, 320 nt
Filed under: uncultured bacterium
Lineage: Bacteria
Description: bacterial SSU rRNA
Rfam family: Bacterial small subunit ribosomal RNA
Source: RNAcentral